This 63-nucleotide transfer RNA is filed under the name Thrips setosus. RNAcentral describes it as "tRNA-Phe". Lineage: Eukaryota; Metazoa; Arthropoda; Insecta; Thysanoptera; Thripidae. The record is from RNAcentral.
GCCCUUUUAGCUUAAUUAAAGCACAAUAUUGAAAAUAUUUAGAUAUCCAAUGGAUUUAGAGCA